This 301-nucleotide ribosomal RNA is filed under the name uncultured bacterium. RNAcentral's name for it is "partial 16S ribosomal RNA". It matches the Rfam family "Bacterial small subunit ribosomal RNA", at positions 509 to 807 of the family's 1533-position model. The record is from RNAcentral.
CAGUAGCCGCGGGAAUACGUAGGGUGCAAGCGUUAAUCGGAAUUACUGGGCGUAAAGCGUGCGCAGGCGGUUUUGUAAGACAGAGGUGAAAUCCCCGGGCUCAACCUGGGAACUGCCUUUGUGACUGCAAGGCUAGAGUACGGCAGAGGGGGAUGGAAUUCCGCGUGUAGCAGUGAAAUGCGUAGAUAUGCGGAGGAACACCGAUGGCGAAGGCAAUCCCCUGGGCCUGUACUGACGCUCAUGCACGAAAGCGUGGGGAGCAAACAGGAUUAGAUACCCCGGUAGUCCCUGUCUCUUAUAC